RNAcentral lists this ribosomal RNA (372 nucleotides) under Cetraria muricata. Its description in RNAcentral is "partial small subunit ribosomal RNA". It matches the Rfam family "Bacterial small subunit ribosomal RNA", at positions 666 to 1022 of the family's 1533-position model. Lineage: Eukaryota; Fungi; Ascomycota; Lecanoromycetes; Lecanorales; Parmeliaceae. The record is from RNAcentral.
ACUGCUGGUGUAGAGAUGAAAUUCUGUCAUACCUCUUUUCAAUAGAAAAAUAAUGGCACAGGUAUAGGCGAAAGCAUCCCCUUAUGUGAUAACUGACGUUGAGGGACGAAGGCUUUGUGUAGCGAACAGGAUUAGAUACCCCAGUAGUCAAAGCAGAAAAUGAUGAAUGUCAUAGAUUAGAUAUAUAAGUUUAUUCUAUAAAUGAAAGUGUAAGCAUUCCACCUCAAGAGUAAUUUGGCAACAUUGGAACUGAAAUCAUUAGACCGUUUCUGAAACCAGUAGUGAAGUAUGUUGUUUAAUUUGAUGAUCCGCAAAAAACCUUACCACAAUUUGAAUAUUUAUAUCUUAUAUUGUUUUUUUUUUACUUUAUUC